RNAcentral lists this ribosomal RNA (428 nucleotides) under uncultured bacterium. Its description in RNAcentral is "bacterial SSU rRNA". It matches the Rfam family "Bacterial small subunit ribosomal RNA", at positions 29 to 439 of the family's 1533-position model. The record is from RNAcentral.
AACGAACGCUGGCGGCGCGUCUUAAACAUGCAAGUCGAACGAGAACCCUAGUGCUUGCAUUGGGGGGAAAGUGGCGAACGGGUGAGUAACACGUGGAUAAUCUGCCUCCAGGAUGGGGACAACCCCGGGAAACCGGGGCUAAUACCGAGUAAGAUGGCAGAUGCACAGGCAUCAGCCAUUAAAGGUGGGGACCGCAAGGCCUACCGCCUGGAGAUGAGUCCGCGGCCCAUUAGCUUGUUGGCGGGGUAAAAGCCCACCAAGGCAACGAUGGGUAGCCGGCCUGAGAGGGUGAACGGCCACACUGGGACUGAGAUACGGCCCAGACUCCUACGGGAGGCAGCAGUUAAGAAUCUUGCACAAUGGGCGAAAGCCUGAUGCAGCGACGCCGCGUGGACGAUGAAGGUUUUCGGAUUGUAAAGUCCACUAAG